Stylophora pistillata is the source of this 1160-nucleotide long non-coding RNA. Lineage: Eukaryota; Metazoa; Cnidaria; Anthozoa; Scleractinia; Pocilloporidae. The record is from RefSeq and is a predicted model, not a curated record.
AUCCCGGGGAAUGAAUAAGACAUGAGACGUAUUACUCACGUAAUCGUGUUAACAAAAAUAUUCUGAAAACAUCUGCUGUCGCUGAUCAGUUCUUGACUGACUGCGGUGAACAGUACUUCCCGUUCUUGCACUGCAAAACAAUCGGCGUCCUCCGGUAAAAAUUAAUUUCUCAGUCCGGGGAGACAACUGAUCACAGUCGAGGAUUUGAAUUAACAGAUAGAACCGAGAUGGGAUGGAGAGCAUUUUUAUCAGCUCCAGGUUCCACUGGCGGGUUUCAACAACUGAAUCACAGUGAUAGACAUCGGCAGGAUCAUUUGAGACCGACCGAAAGACGUUGUCGACAAAGACGCAACGCCGUGACACUAUUUACAAUGGAAGAUCUUUUAAAAUCCAACAACUUCCAAAAUCUUCUAAACAUUCGCUCGGCGAGAAGAGGGUCGAGGACAUCCGGAGAAUAGAUUUUUCUGAAAAGAAAAGACGCGAAUGUCGUACAAUUGUUACUUAGUUAUCAGUAAGCGUCAGUCAAGAGAGGUUUCGGUAGGUUCAUGAGAGCGUGUACAUUUAAAAUAUCUUGGACUGAUUUAGUCUGACAUUGAAGACCUAUUAAUCAAAAUUAGUGCUUUGUCUCACAGAAUCAAUCUUGAUUUAACAUCUUUACACUACUGGAAGCACACUAUCCUGGCCUAGAAAGUUCCAGUGAGCGCCAGGGCCUCUUGAUAAUGAGCCCCUCAUCCUCCAUCCCCUAAAAAAAAAAAGAACUGAACCAGAAGUAGCAUUGUGAUUCAUUUCGGGUAGGGUAAUGUUUCAGUUAAUUAUACUCGUGCAUUAAAAGCCUCUAUUAAUUUCUAUUUAGACAUAGCAUGGUAGAAUACACAUGUAUAACACAAGAGAAUAUAUUCUUGUCUAACAUAGCCAAAGAAAAUUGCCACAUAACCAGAAAAAAUUUCUUAUGAAUUUACUGAAGAAUUUUAUCCUAGGAGUCUAAGAGUUGUAAUGAGCAACAGCAAAGUGCACUGAAGUGAGUUAAAACGGGGAAGAAGUCAAAAGAGUGACCAAUUUGUCAGCGUGUGAGGUAAAACUGUUGUUUCAAAAAUCACAGGAAUAAAUGACCUAAAGUUUAAAGGUAAAGCCAUUAAAAAUAAAAGAAAAAUGUAAAAGUA